Molecule: unclassified non-coding RNA, 234 nt
Filed under: Hevea brasiliensis (rubber tree)
Lineage: Eukaryota; Viridiplantae; Streptophyta; Magnoliopsida; Malpighiales; Euphorbiaceae
Source: RNAcentral
GUAAAUAUCACUUAACACUCUUAACUGCUAUGAAAUGCAGGUCAUGUUAGAUACAACAUUAUUCUUUAUUUUGUAUAGCCAUUUUCAAUCAUUUUCUCAAGUGAGUCUUUUAAAUUGAAAAGCAGGGGAGGGUUUCUCCAAAAAGUUGAUUUCUCUUCCGGGAGGUAUCUUUAAGCAACAGUUAGAUGUUGUACAGCCGUCCAAGAUUGCUCUGGUUCAAGCUGCACUGUUCCA